RNAcentral lists this long non-coding RNA (1275 nucleotides) under Citrus x clementina. RNAcentral describes it as "Citrus clementina (C. clementina) long non-coding RNA (CCLE_LNC001314)". Lineage: Eukaryota; Viridiplantae; Streptophyta; Magnoliopsida; Sapindales; Rutaceae. The record is from RNAcentral.
UAUAUGUUACCUUACUAUCAACUAUUUUUUUUUUAAUUCUGUUAUACAGAGAUUGUUAUUAAUAUUAUAUCAGACAUUACAAUUACAAUAUUUACAAUCAUACUAAACAACUGAGACUAUCAUCAUAUAUUAACCCACUGAAGCACUUAUCCAAAUAUUUUAAACAUUCUCUAAUAUUCGAAGGAUGCCUACUCCACUCACAUUUCGUAAAGGAGAAAUUGUCUCCACUCAAUUAGUUAAUAAUUGAGGGAGAACUGAAACUAACCUCCAUAAUACUCUUAUGAAGGCUCAAACCCUUGCACUCAACAUUGUAAGUACAAGACUUCUCCCAUUGGACCAAAGGUCCCUAGGUUUCUGUCAACUAUUUAAAGAGUAGUAAAAUACAAGAUUUUGUAUUUCUUUAGUAGUAAAAUACUAAGAUGCAAUACUUGUUACACUUAUUUGUUAUUUCACAAUAACUUAAGCAUCAAAAAGAAAAUAACCCAACUAAAAAAUGUAAUCAAUAAUUUCUUGACACCAAACGAAAAUGUAACAUUGCAAAAUUAAAAUAAAAAAGAAGAAGAAAAUACACAAAAGGUAAUUAUCCUUAUUUCGUAAGCAUAGAGUACAAGUGAAACCAGGCGGCUGUGAAGUAAUUUGAUGGAGCAAAUGCAAUGAGAAAGAGCUAAUGGUGGUCCUUCGAGCAGAUUACUGUCUACAGAUGGAAGAAAAUCCGGUGGAUCAAUGUGGAGGGGACAAUAAAUUACCUAUCAUUUUCGUAUUCUUGGGCCGAACGCAUAAGCUUGCAAUAUCAAACUUUAUUUGCAUUUGAGUGAAGAACUAAACUAAGAAAUUUAUUAACGAAUGAAAUAUUGCCACUUAUAUAGUUAGUACCACACGUCCAUUAAAAUUGACAAUUCAGAUAAUAGAUACAAAUUGCAUUUGUCCCGGAUUAGAGAUUAAUACAAGUAUGGUGGUUAUGGUUUACAUUGACCCCGGAUUGAAAAUCAAUAACCAAAAGUUGAUUUAUGCGUAAGGUUCAGAGAAAACUAACAAUAAUCAGACUCGAAAAUGUUAACAAUAAGUAGCGCUUGAUUGUUAACGGAAUCACGUGCAAACAAUUUAUGUUGUGUUUACUUGCUGGAGUGAGAGUGAGGAGUGUGGAUUCCUCCUACUCCAUCGUUUACUUACUUAAAAUGGGGAGGGAUUGGGAGUCCCACUCCGUGGGCCCCACCCAUUUUUGGAGUGGGGAGUGGGACUCCCAUUGGGGGAGGUGGGAGUGGGAAUCCACUCCCA